UACGUAGGUGGCAAGCGUUGUUCGGAAUAACUGGGCGUAAAGGAUGCGUAGGCGGUUAAACAAGUUAUAUGUUAAAUAUAUAGGCUUAACCUGUAGAAAGCAUAUAAAACUGUUUAACUAGAGUGCAGGAGAGGCAGGCGGAAUUCCUAGUGUAGCGGUGAAAUGCGUAGAUAUUAGGAGGAACACCAGUGGCGAAGGCGACUUUCUGGACCGUAACUGACGUUGAGGCACGAAAGUGUGGGGAGCAAACAGG
Molecule: ribosomal RNA, 253 nt
Filed under: uncultured Candidatus Neoarthromitus sp.
Lineage: Bacteria; Bacillati; Bacillota; Clostridia; Eubacteriales; Clostridiaceae
Description: uncultured Candidatus Arthromitus sp. partial 16S ribosomal RNA
Rfam family: Bacterial small subunit ribosomal RNA
Source: RNAcentral